CUUCAACGACCCCAACCACAACGGACGACCAGGCAACCGCCCCUGCCCAUACGUCGCCAACAACGCCUGCGCCUC
RNAcentral lists this antisense RNA (75 nucleotides) under Streptomyces sp. CB02058. Its description in RNAcentral is "ASpks sRNA". It matches the Rfam family "ASpks TB sRNA". Lineage: Bacteria; Bacillati; Actinomycetota; Actinomycetes; Kitasatosporales; Streptomycetaceae. The record is from RNAcentral.